Molecule: non-coding RNA, 24 nt
Filed under: Arabidopsis thaliana (thale cress)
Lineage: Eukaryota; Viridiplantae; Streptophyta; Magnoliopsida; Brassicales; Brassicaceae
Source: RNAcentral
UAGCAAACUACUAUGUAUGGUUAC